UUAUCCUUACCCAUACAAGUCACCACCACCACCACCUCUCCACCACCACAAACCACCAACACUACCACCUCCUCCUGUUUACCACUACAAAUCACCACCUCCCCCUCCCCAUGUCUACAAGUAUAAAUCUCCACCACCACCUCCUUACCACCCCAUAUCACCAGCUCCUCCUCAUCAUCAUGCCUACAAGUAUAAAUCUCCACCACCACCUCCUUACCACCCUGCUCCUAUCUACAAGUACAAGUCACCACCUCCCCUCAUCAUGCUUACAAAUAUAAAUCUCCACCACCCCCUCUUCACCACCCUGCUCCUGUCUACAAGUACAAGUCACCACCUCCUCCUCACCAUGUCUACAAGUACAAAUCUCCACCACCCCCUCGCCAUUACAAGGCACCUUGUCCUCCUUCCCCUGUCUACAAAUAUAAAUCACCACCACCCCCUCCCUACCAUCACAUAUCACCAACCCUACCUCCCUACCACGACAAGUCACCACCACCACCCCCUCCUGUUUACAAGUAUAAAUCACCACCGCCACCUCCCUAUCACUACAAGUCACCACCACCUCCCCCUCCAGUCUACAAGUAUAAGUCUCCUCCACCACCUCCACAUGUUUAUCACUACACUUCACCUCCUCCUCCUCCCUAUCACUAUUAAGCGGCAGAACACCGUCGAAACCAAAAGGGUUAGUUGCUUGUAUUUUCUGAGCUCAGAAUAUGGUUAAAAAUGAAGUUACUUGGAGUAAUAACAAACGGAUGUUUCUUGUUCUUUCUUUCUUUGUUUUCUUUCUCUUUUUUUUUUAAGAGAGCUAAUUAAUUAAGCCGAAGCCAAAUGGAAAACACAUGGGCAAUUUUAAAACAGCACCAUUGGAACAUAACCCCCCUCUCGUUUUUUAUUAUUUUGCAGGGAUGAAGACUUAUCUUUCCUGAUGGUUGCCAUAUAUGAACCAGCAUCAAGUGCAGGUUUUACUAGGGUUGUGGAGAGUAGAAUAAAGCAAUCGAGGUUCCUUCUACAAAAGAAGUGGCCCCUGAUGCUUCUAUGGAGUGAAUAAAGUUGCUUUAUAUCGUGUAAUGCAGAAGCAUCUGCUUAGUAGCUGGAAAAGAGUGGAAAGAGGAGAUAAGCAUAUGUACUUGCUCUUUCCUGCUUUUGAAUUGUAUUUUUGUUAGUAUUUUGGCAAAUCUCUAGGGAUUUCCUUCAAUCCCUCCUACUAUGUUCAGUUAUAACCCAGAAGUUAUUACAAUCAUAACUGUACUUGCAAGUAGCCAGUAGAAGCAUGUAUGUCCAGUUGUUGAAUGCACGCAUUAUACAAAGUUUCGGGUAUCUGAAGUAAUUAAAAAGUGGCCAUGAAGAGUGAAAAGCUCUUACAUUUAAGGACUAAUUAAUUUGCAUGGAGCGGUUUGUCAUCAUAGUAGAGACAUGAUGAAGAUAAGUUUGAACAGCUAGUGAUGGAGCAAAAGAGGAUGAAAAUGGGGAAAAUCCUAGAACUGUAAAUGAGGAAGUGACUUUAAGUCGAUAAGUAGUUCGACAUCAUGAUCAUACCUAUGAUCAAAUGCAGCUAGCUACAGAUGAGAUUUAUGCAUACUAAAUUUGUUGUUAUUCAUGACCCACCCUUACAUCAACUAUAGCAAUUACAAUAUUGAUUGCAGUUAGGCCAUUUGAAUUUCUACAAAGAACACCUCGAACUACCAAAUUAAUAAGCACUCAGUGAUACCACAAUGAGGCAGCUAAUAAUCUACAAAUCUUGUGGGCCGCAAACAUAAUCCCUAGCUUAUGUUUUCCAUGAUAGAAAUGAUUAAGCCAGUCAGAAAAAACUGACUUCAAAGAGUCACCCUAUGCGAGCAUUACUCCUCUCAUAAUCUCCCUUAAAGAAAGAGCACGCCGCCCAUAUAAGAAUUGCAUGGUAGAACUCUGCAAGUAAUCAUGCCAACCCUCGUUCCUGGGAUCGAUUGAAGGAGGGAGAGAAGCCAUGAUCUCAUGAAACAGCAUUUAUCUUUUUGCUAAUAUUAUCAGGUCUAUGAAUUAAGCUUGAGAGGCAACGCCAGUCCAGAUCAAGACUGAAUCAUAAUGCAUGGUCCCAAAAUGUGGUUAGAAGUGUAAAAUAUGAACUAAAUUAAAGCAGAGAUCAAAAGGACAAUUAAGGCCAUUAUCAGGAAAAGCAGACAGCCGAUACAGAUUUUUGUACAACCUUUGGACUGGAUUGCUUGGAUGGCAAACUGCCGACAAAGACUGAAAGAUCCCUAAAUUAUUGUGAGGUUUCUGACGUAUUCUCUUAGCUGUCUUCUUCCUCCUCCUCCUCCUUUUUAUUUUUUAAUUUGUGUGCCUUGUAUCAUUCACAAUCUUCUGAAAACUUUUCGUUGUAGAUUACGACAUUACUGUUGUUCAACUUCUCUUUCCCUAUCCACUGGUUCUUGCACCAAGCUGGAAAGGAGAGAGGUCAGUGUAGGGUCAUGGAACCAGAAUUUGGUGGCUCAGAUACGUGCCCACCUUCACCCUCAAAGCUGAAACUGAAAGUGCACAGAAGUAGAGAAGGCAAUGAAGAGCUUGAUUAGUCAAAAGAUCGCCAAGAUGAAGACCUUACAGGAAAGAAAAAUCUUAAGCUGGACUUCACUCUUGGAGGGUAGCUUUGGCAGCAACUUCCACGCAAGCUGCAAUAAUUGGAGGCCUUUUCUUUCAAACAUGAUCAUAUCCUAGCAAUAAAGGAGAACCAUGUUGGAUCUAGGAAAAGUGUGCAUGGAGUCUAAUGGACAGCAAUAAUUUUAACUAAUUAGAAUCACGUAAUGGUCGUGUUUUAAAGAAAGAUUGGGCUACUUUCAUUUGUUAGCUUUUAUAUAAGCGUGCCUCUGUCUCCUCUCCAAAACCAUAUAAUUAACUCUUUGCAUGAAAUGUUACCUAUUUUUUUUUAAAAAAUAUAUUCUUUAAUUAGUUUUUUCUAUCUAAUUCUAAGGAUGAUCUAGCUUUUCUGCAAUUUUUUUCUUUACAACUUUGCCACCAAUCGAUCCCGCCAUACUUAUGUGAUUUGACUUCGCUUUUUGUGACUUUUUAUAUAUAUAUAUAUAUGUCUUUACAGCUUUGUUACUCUUGAGCUACGUACUAUUGAUCCUAUAAUAAUUGCAUGCUUUAGCUUUUGUGAUGAUUCUUUUGUCUUUACAACCUGGCCGCUCUUCUCCCACUAGUUUAUUCUGUCGUAUUUCUGUGCUUUGCAUUUGCUUUUUCCGCGAUGUAUAUAUUCUUGUCUAUGGAUUAUGUAACUCAUAAGUGGCGCUUGGACUGUCAGUACUACAUGGCAAUCCAAUUAGCACUGCGACUGGGCUCGCUCAGAGAUGCAAACAACAGCUACUCCCCCACCCUCCCCAGAGUGGGGCCUUUGUGGUAGUGAUCAGGUCAGAAACUACGUACUUACUCUCCAGUAAAAAGAGUGAAUACGUAAUUAUCAAAAUAACUAGCUCAUCAUAAUCAGGCAGACAUUGAGCUUUACAUGAAGAACCAAAGCUUCCACUAUCAGCAAAAUGGAAUAAAUUAGCUUUCAGAUCCGUCCAUUCCUAAGUCACUUAUGAGUAUUUCGAAUACAGACCUAGCCAGCCUGCAAUUCUAUAGUUCUGCUGGUCAUACUAGCUCAACCCAUAAAUGCCAUAUAUUUUCAACCAAUCAUUCAAAUAGAUCUUAUAUAUUUAAAUCUAAUAUACUAUAUUUUUUUAAUAAAUCAAAUAGAUAUAAAUAUAUCUGCCAGAGUUAGCGAGGGUUAGAAUUCUAUAAUAUACUUACGGUAUAGUUGAUACAUAAGAUACUAUUCAAUCGACUGCAGUGUUAAUUUUUUAUACAAAACAUUUUAAUAAAAAAUAAUAUAUGCAUCACAUGCAAAUAAUUUUUUUUUUUUAUGCAUGAAAAAUCUCAGGGUGCAUCCAAUGGCAACAAUCCACGCAGAAGGGUUGGAAUCUACUGACCCUCGCACCGUCAAUCGUUACAGUGGAGACGUGCAAUAAUUGAGUUAUAACGAGGGAACAUCAUCUUGGGACGUGGAGUGUCGGUAGAGCCCGGAGGGCGGGCCCGGUCGGCCAGCCUGGUGUCUCGCUUUCCGCGUCGCCUUGGCCAUUUUUUCCAUGCACGUUAUCAUCACACUCAGCAUCUGACCCUUUUGUUUCUUGUCCCUGCUUGCUUCCGUCUUAUCGGAAUGAGAUUCCACUGCUACUUCCCGUUGUAAUCCGGCAUUAGCUCCCGCUGUCCACCUCCACAUGCGACCCAUUUCUUUCAUGGGCCCCCUCUCUCCUUUCCCACAACCAUCCCCAAUUCUCCACAAUUCGAGUCCAAUAUCCACAUUGUCAACGCUUCAAAUGCUCAAUCAUUAGCCAAAUGCAAAUAAUGCUAGGAGAAAAUCUGGAUCCAUCUUUGAAUUGACUGCUAACUCCUCAUCUUUGGAUUAUCCAUUUAGAUAUAGAACUGAAAUAGGAUCAUCUCCGAAUCUAAUACCAGUGUAUUUAUAUUCAUGUAUAUUUUAUUUUGAUGAAUAUAGAUAUGAAUAUGAAUGCUAUAUUUAUUUUAAAUAGAUACGGAUAUAAAAUCGGAUGCUAUUAUAUAUAUAAAUAUGGAUAUAAGUUUAAUUAAAUUUUAUAAUCAUAGAAUCUAAAGAUAUUGCUAAAUAGAUGAUAAAUCUAAUUAAUAGCAUGUUAAUGUAGUCGUUUAUCUUUCUUAAAAGUUUAUAAGUGCUAUAUAAAAUUAGAUGGAGUUACAAAUAGAGUCGAACAUAGAUAUGGAUACGGAUAUUAGUCAGAUGCUCAAAUUGCUAUUUAGAUUCGAAUAAAUUCGGAUAAAAAAUAGAUACAGAUGGAUAUUAUUCGAUCUACUUUCACUUCUAUUUACAGAUCAAGCUCAACCAUGUAUAAGGACUAAAAUGUAAAAUGAUAUCCACAUAAAAUGGCAUUCAACAAAGGACCAGAUGGUAAGUUUCCCAAUAAUAUUUGAUCGAUGUAGGAGAAGCAUGAUGAAUAUAGUCUAGACUGAACCGGGGAUGCUUAACUCGAUCUCCUGAUGCGACAGCAUUAGGCCAAUGGACACUCCAUUUGCCCUGGGUGGAAUCAAGAUCGGGGUGUUUAUAAAUCAUGCUUUCAACUGCAUGCACAGAAUGCAAAUGAUGCUAUCCAUCAGUGCUCAUUAAUGCAAUGGGAUCAAGAGGCAAGAAUCAACUCCAGGAACCAUGCCUGAAACUAAUCAGGAAUCUCGAUCUUAGAUCAUGUUGGUAACCACAUUGCCAGGGCUAAGGGCCCUGGUGAAUAUAAAUGUGUUUUAAUCUAUAUUCAACAAAGAGACAUUAGUUUGAUCAGUGUUUAAUAUAUUGACAAGUACUUAUGAACCCAUUGCUGCAAUCUAUAAAUUUUUAUUUUUCUUUAUAUAAUUUUUUUAAUUUUCUUUAUUUAAUAAUUUUCUAUUCAAUAUAUAUAUCUGACUAUUUUAAUUUAAAAUUAUUCUAAUCACCAAUAUUUUACUCAAUUAUGAUUAACUUGACUUAAAAUAAUUUCAAAUUUUCUUCAUUUAAAAAAUUGUCCUCAUUGAUUAUUUACUUUUCUUUAUUUCUUAAUUUUCUUUACUCAGAUAUUUUCUACCCAUGAUAAUUAUUCAACUACAAAUCCGAAAUAGUUUCAAAUUUUCUUUGUCUGACUUUUUCUUCAAUGUAAAUAUCCGACCACAUCAAUUGUACUCAAUUAUGAUUAGCUAGAAUUUGAUAUAAUGUUCUAUAUUCAAAAUAUUUUUACUCGUUCACUAUAUAUUUAUGUUAGAAUAAAUUAUAAAAACCUCCUUAAGAUCAAAGAUAAAUUGCACUUACACCUAAUAAUUUGAAAAGGCUACAUUUAUCUCCUUGAGGCUUAUUUUAUAAAACACUUUAACUCAUAACUUAGCAAAACAUUAGCUAGACUGUUAACAUUAAAUAAAACCCGAAAAAAAUUGAAGAAUGACCAAAACAAUCUUAAGUGAUAUAACCACCACUCAACGAACUAAAAAAAUAUAUACAUUCUUCCCUUCAUCCAAAGACAAUUUUGACUUUUUACCUAAGAUGAACAACCUUGCUAACAUUAUUAAUUUAACUAAACGUAAGUAUACAUUUUUAUAAACUAUAAAAUAUAAAUGUAAUAAGGAUAAACAUUAGGAGAAUUUUUGUGAUUUACUCUUAAUUUUAUUUAUUUGGCAUUUUUUUAGAUUUCUUAUUUAGAUGUUUUACAUUCACCAUAAUUAUCUGAUUGUGGCAGAUAUUUUCUAUAUCUAACCAAUUUGUAUAGCAUAAUUUUAACUAGCAUGAGAUUUUUACGCAUUUUAAAAAGAGGGGGUAACUUCGGGACUGAAAAUGACUGAUGAAAUCUGAAAGUAAUAUUUGGACUCAUGCUGCAGCAAGGUCUCACCCUCCUGGAAAUGGACGAGUUAGCUUACUUGUAAAUCUUAGCUACGAUCGGACACCCAUCAGAAAUUCAACGAAUAUCACCAUAUGGUUAACAAAGUGUAUGCAGUAAAGAUGCCCCAGCCUGCUGAAUCCCUUUACAUCAAUAACAUGAAGCUUCCAAGCAUUAUAAACUCCGAAAUAGAAGGAUGGUAACACAUCAACAGCCAAUAUUUAGUAUUUAAUACAAAAAAUCAGUAAAUUUUCAAUUCUUACAAGUCUCUUUCACUAAUCUUCCAAGUGACACACAUGCUUUCUGGCUUCCAGUAGAAAAGGUUCACUAAAGGAACAUUCACAAUAACAAUCAAAACUUGUGUGCGUGGCUUGCAGCUGGUAAGCUCGUAAUUCUUCUUGAUAAUGACAAUGGCAAUAACUAGUUACAACACAUGAACCAAAUCACAGAAAAAGAAAAUGUAGCAAAAAGAUAAUUGCAUACAUCAUGACAUCUCAACAACACUGCUUGCAUCUGCACAUGCCAACACCUCAGAAAAGAGUAGCCAGCAAAACAAAGUAUUCAUUAACCAGAUUGCUAAUAAAAUCACACGGAACAAUUAUGUUGCUGAUUGUUUUGGUAUCUUCCCUUCUUCCUGUUGACUUGUUUUCCCAGUUCCCUGCCAAUGCGGAAAAACAAAUGACUCGUCAACGUCAUGAGUUGCCCUACCAUACAAGAAACCUCAUUUAAAGAAGAGUAACUUUAUCAGAAUAAUGUUGAUACUUUAGCAGACAUAACAAAAAUACCAACACCUUAGAUUUGGAGGUCUGCCAUACCGACCCGUAGUGCCCUAUACCGAUCGUGCUGUACUAUACUGGUAAGGUAGUGAUAGGGUACUGAGGUUUGGUUCAAUAUAUCAGCCAAACUGGUCCAAACCGAGCGGAACUGCUCUACACAACCCAAUACUGGCCUGUAAUGCCCGGUUUUUGAGCAGUAAAUAGCUGAGAGAGAGAAAAGAGUGUUGCAAGCUUGAUGGAUGCCAUACCGAAUCGGUAACGUACCGAUAUGGUUUAGUACCAAUUUUGUGGACCUUGGAUUAAACAACUUCUAUUAUUAUGGGUGCACAGCUAGUCAACUUUAAAUUUAAUAACUAGAUGGAGGAUCUACCUGAAUUUGUUGCAAGAGUUCCUCAAGUUCAAUAGUUAUCUCCGAAAAAGAGGGUCGUUUCGCUGGAACCGCCUCCCAACAUCUUUUCAUCAACUCAACUAAUUUAGGAUGCGUAUUUUCCGGAAUCUCUGGACGCAAACCCUAGUAUCGCACAUAAAGAAGUAAUACGUAAAUAUGGUUAAAAACUAUAUAAAAAAAUAUUUUUAGCAUUUAGCCUACCAAUGAGUCAAUGAUAUCAUUUCCGGCAUUUAUUUGGAUUGAAAUCAUGGCUGUAAUAAUGUCUAUUAUUAGCCUUUUUAAAGGGGAACAGAUAAAACAAGCAAACUAUUUGAUCAUGACAAUAUUAAAAAACUUCUCUUUAUGUAGUUUGAUGGACAUUUAACUUUUAUUUUUUAUCAGAUGAGAAAUGAACAUGUCAAAUAACAGGUAUCAUUCUCCACCAUAUAAAAACUAUUACAUCAAAUAUCCAUUAUAUGUCCAACUAAAAGUUGGGCUUUCGAAACAUAUAAUUACCACUAUUCUAACCAUGUCACUGCCAAAAGUAUUUAUUUCAUGGAGAGAAAUUUUUACAAUAGACAUUGACACCUUGUAUAUUGAACUAACAAAAACAAUCAUGCAAGACAAUAGAAAGCUAGAGUCGGUCCAUGUGUGAAAAGCACUUAAAACCAAAGUUUUUUAAGUCCCAGUGGGACGAAAGGCGUCCCAGCCGUCCCGUCCCAUUCCUGUGAGAAAACGGGAAUAGGAUAGGGUUAGGAAUUCGAAACCCAUCCACAUGGGGAGAGAAGAAGAAAAGGAAAAAGUGGAAGGAAAGAAAAGAAAAAGAAGAAAGAAAGGAAGGGAGAACAAAAUGAAAGAAAGAAAGGAAAGAAGGAAGAAAGGAAAGCGAAAGAAGAAGAAAAAAUAAAUAAGAAAUACAGGAAAGGAUACAAGAAAGAAAAAGGAAAGGAAAGAACGAAAGGUAGAAGAAAAAGAAAGAAGGAAAUAAAGAAGAAAAAAAAAGAAAGAAAGAAAUGAAAGAAGAAGGGGGGAGAGAGACAGGAUGGUGUGGGACUUUGGGGCAUCCCGUUCCAUGAAGAAACCAGGACAUCCCCAUCACAUGAGAUUUAAAACUGUGCUUGAAAUAGUAAGUUACAAUCUUUCUGAUAAAAUAAUACAUUGGAUAGUAACACCAAGACACAUGGAGGAAUGUUAAUAAGACACAUGAAACAUAAUUUUUCAACCUAAAAUAUUUUCACAUGACAAGACUAGAGAGAAUUUGGAAAUAUGCGGACAUUGUCCUUGCAAUUCAGCCAAUGAACUUGAGCUAAAGCACCUAAGCUUGUCACAAGUAGGUAUGAAACAAUGAUAACCAUAGCAAUCUGUAACCAAGACAACUAGAUCCUUAUGAUCAACACAGAGAACAUUUUUCUAUGUGAUGAAAAAUACAAACCAGUCUUACUCCUAAUGCAGCUUGCAAGGGUGUCAUGGUUUCAUAUGGGACCUGCACAAUGACAUCAUAAACUUGUUACUCCACCUCAUAAUCAUAUGGUCCCAUCUUCCAAAAUUUGCUGGAUCAAUAAUCCAUAAGUUGAAAGAGGUGCAAUUUCAGCAUGUACCUUUGAUGUUACUAGCUCCCAGAGCACAAUGGAAAAACUGAAUACAUCAGCCUUAUGAUCAUAUGGUUGAUGAUUUAUAACCUGGAAAGAGCAAAGUUGUAAUAUAAAAAUCAGAAAAUAUGUUUAUCAUUAUUUAAAAUAUAAGUAUGAUAAUACUACUUUACAUGGUAUGAGGUAUGUAUCGAUUAUAAUUGUGGGAGAAAGUAAUUUUGAAGCAUUCACAAUUUAUUUUUCAGGUCAACACAUGUUUAU
This 9364-nucleotide long non-coding RNA is filed under the name Phoenix dactylifera (date palm). Its description in RNAcentral is "long non-coding RNA (PDAC_LNC001149)". Lineage: Eukaryota; Viridiplantae; Streptophyta; Magnoliopsida; Arecales; Arecaceae. The record is from RNAcentral.